RNAcentral lists this ribosomal RNA (403 nucleotides) under uncultured bacterium. RNAcentral's name for it is "bacterial SSU rRNA". It matches the Rfam family "Bacterial small subunit ribosomal RNA", at positions 355 to 775 of the family's 1533-position model. The record is from RNAcentral.
UAGGGAAUAUUAGAAAUGGACGAAAGUCUGAUCUAGCAACACCGCGUGUGCGAAGAAGGCCUUCGGGUCGUAAAGCACUUUUUGGAAGGAAUAGGAAGGAAUGUACUUCCAGAAUAAGUCUCGGCUAACUACGUGCCAGCAGCCGCGGUAACACGUAGGAGGCGAACGUUAUCCGGAUUUACUGGGCGUAAAGCGCGUGUAGGUGGUACUGUAAGUAGGGCGUGAAAGCUCCUGGCUCAACCGGGAGAGGCCGUUCUAAACUACAGAACUAGAGGAUGGUAGAGGGAGGUGGAAUUCCAGGUGUAGCGGUGGAAUGCGCAGAUAUCUGGAGGAACACCGGUGGCGAUGGCGGCCUCCUGGACCAUUCCUGACACUCAGACGCGAAAGCUAGGGUAGCAAACGG